Molecule: long non-coding RNA, 580 nt
Organism: Leptopilina heterotoma
Lineage: Eukaryota; Metazoa; Arthropoda; Insecta; Hymenoptera; Figitidae
Exons: 2
Source: RefSeq, a predicted model, not a curated record
UUCGUGAGAAGAGAUAUUUUCAACCUGUAGAAAGGCAAAACUCCAUUCACCAGUCUACAUUCAAACUUGAGACGUUCACAAUAGAAUCACGGUGUUUUUGUAAUUUUUGUCAACAUAUAAGCAUUCAGAAGACUCGCAACAAAAUAAGAAUUAAUAUGGAUUUGUCAUCGUCACAUUCAUCGUCUUCCUCUUCUUCAAACAACAAGUCUAAAAAUGACAAUUCCUCCAAAUGCAAUCAUAUGACAAAUGCUUAUGGAGUUUCAAAAUGGAAAGGAGAAACUUCACUGCAUUGGUCGACUUUUGACGAGGGACAAAUGAAACAAGAAAAUAUUCGCUUCAAUGACAACAAAGUGGUGUAUCAUAAUUUAAAUGACAAUUCCAUUAAAGUUUAUAAUUUAGAGAAGAAUAUAAAGUAUACUGAAAUUAAAAAUACUAAAAAAUAAGAAUAUUAAUAAAAAUUGUAUAAUGUCUUAUAACAAUCUAUUAAACAGAAUAUUUAACUCUAAAACUAUUGACAAUGUUCUACUUCAAAUUUAUAAUGAAAAUAAAAACGCUAAUGAAAAUAAACAAUACUAAUAAU